GCAGGGUCUUAGUGGAGGUCCUGGGGACCAGGGCUCUGAAGGACCUGUAGGACCCAAAGGUGAUAAGGGAAACCAAGGAAGACCUGGACCCACCGGUCCAAUGGGUAUGGGUGAACCAGGACUGCCGGGUCAGAUUGGUCCUCCAGGGGUUCAGGGAACACAAGGGUUCCCAGGAGAGGGUCUACCAGGGCCUAAGGUGAGACA
Molecule: long non-coding RNA, 204 nt
Organism: Coregonus clupeaformis (lake whitefish)
Lineage: Eukaryota; Metazoa; Chordata; Actinopteri; Salmoniformes; Salmonidae
Exons: 3
Source: RefSeq, a predicted model, not a curated record